GUCCACGCCGUAACGAUGUCGACUAGCCGUUGGGAAACUUGCUUUCUCAGUGGCGUAGCUAACGCGCUAAGUCGACCGCCUGGGAGUACGGCCGCAAGGUUAAACUCAAAUGAAUUGACGGGACCCGCACAAGCGGUGGAGUAUGUGGUUUAAUUCGACGCAACGCGAAGAACCUUACCUGCUCUUGACAUGUCGAGAACUUUCCAGAGAUGGAAGGGUGCCUUCGGGAACUCGAACACAGGUGCUGCAUGGCUGUCGU
This 259-nucleotide ribosomal RNA is filed under the name uncultured bacterium. RNAcentral describes it as "partial 16S ribosomal RNA". It matches the Rfam family "Bacterial small subunit ribosomal RNA", at positions 793 to 1055 of the family's 1533-position model. The record is from RNAcentral.